This is a long non-coding RNA of Podarcis raffonei (Aeolian wall lizard), 620 nucleotides long. RefSeq lists it as uncharacterized. Lineage: Eukaryota; Metazoa; Chordata; Lepidosauria; Squamata; Lacertidae. The record is from RefSeq and is a predicted model, not a curated record. The transcript is spliced from 3 exons.
CGUUCUUAUUGGCGCUUCCCAGGCGAGGCGCUGAUUGGAUGUUGCCGGGUGACGGUCGUUAGGGCGCGUGAGGGAGUUUUCUGGGAAGCGGGAAAGAGGCGGCGGCGGCGGCCUGUGCUCAGUUGAGGUGGAGAAAGAGGCGCCGAAGGGCGACGUGUGGAAGUCGCUCCCCUCACCCUGGAUGCGUGCAAACGCUUUUUCCUUCUCUGGCAGAUACGCCUAAGCACAUAUAAUCAGUACUGUACAGGUCUGUUCCAGUGCUGUUGACAGCCAUGCCAGAAAAUGGCUGGAAGGAUGUGGCUGGGGAGUAGACUGAAGACAAUGUUGCAGUCAGCCCCAGCUGCUCAUCUGUCUCACAAACCACAAUGCACUUGGCAGAAACUUGGAGUGCAAUUCUGGAGAAUAACCACAGAUAACCAACAGCCCAGUUUGGGCACAAUGCUAGCUAAACGAACCUUGAACUCAAGCAUUCCUCCUUCGGCAUGGCCACUAGCAGAAGAUUAGGAACACUCACUUCCUGGUUUAAGCUAACCAAUUUUGACUUAUAUCUAGCCUUUGAACUCAGUUGAAACUGUGGUUUGUUGCAUUAAACUAGAAUAAUAAACUAUGGUUUGACCCAG